This 253-nucleotide ribosomal RNA is filed under the name uncultured bacterium. RNAcentral describes it as "partial 16S ribosomal RNA". It matches the Rfam family "Bacterial small subunit ribosomal RNA", at positions 524 to 776 of the family's 1533-position model. The record is from RNAcentral.
UACAGAGGGGGCAAGCGUUGUUCGGAAUUACUGGGCGUAAAGGGCGCGUAGGCGGCCUGCUAAGUCGAACGUGAAAUCCCUGGGCUCAACCCAGGAACUGCGUCCGAUACUGGUUGGCUUGAAUCCGGGAGAGGGACGUGGAAUUCCAGGUGUAGCGGUGAAAUGCGUAGAUAUCUGGAGGAACACCGGUGGCGAAGGCGGCAUCCUGGACCGGCAUUGACGCUGAGGAGCGAAAGCCAGGGGAGCAAACAGG